UACGUAGGGGGCGAGCGUUGUCCGGAGUUACUGGGCGUAAAGGGCACGCAGGCGGUUGUGUCAGUUUGCGGGGACAGUGGGUGGCUUAACUGCCCAAGGGUCGCAAAGACGGCACGACUGGAGAGCGAGAGAGGGACCUGGAACUCCGGGUGGAGCGGUGAAAUGCGUAGAGAUCCGGAAGAACACCGGUGGCGAAGGCGGCCUGCUGGGCAGUUGCUGACACUGAGGCGCGACAGCGUGGGGAGCAAACAGG
RNAcentral lists this ribosomal RNA (253 nucleotides) under uncultured bacterium. RNAcentral describes it as "partial 16S ribosomal RNA". It matches the Rfam family "Bacterial small subunit ribosomal RNA", at positions 524 to 776 of the family's 1533-position model. The record is from RNAcentral.